Molecule: long non-coding RNA, 915 nt
Organism: Meriones unguiculatus (Mongolian gerbil)
Lineage: Eukaryota; Metazoa; Chordata; Mammalia; Rodentia; Muridae
Exons: 2
Source: RefSeq, a predicted model, not a curated record
AAUGAGAUUACAAGGCAUGCUUAUUUCCCCUCGGCUCUCAAAUACCGAAAACGCAAGGGACCGCGCCAGGCCACUGUCCGUUCAGGAUAGGAGUGGGCUCCUGAGAACAUCUAGCUACUUCUUCUUGGCUAAAGAUGUUGUCUUUAGCGGCCGCCUUUCUCCUGACCGCAAUCAAUGGCUAAUUUAUCACUAGACCUGCAAACUCUAGACACUGCGAUCCUUCCCUCCCCACUUCCCCGUCUGUCUGUCUGUCUGUCUGUCUCUCUCUCUCUCUCUCUCCCCUCCCGCAUUCUCACACACAGCACACACAGGAAGGCUCCCUGUCCCUAACCGCCCCUGGCAUCAGGGACAGGGGUAGGUACUAUCUGAUGAGAUGAAGGAUAUAGACAGUUGAGGGACAGAUGGCUGGGAGGAGAUGGGCCGGAAGUCUAGCAGGGGAUGGACUUGCAACAAGUACAAGGCCGCGGGAGGCAAGGCUUUGGCUGAAUGCUCUGGCGGGAUGCGGUGACAGAACAGUUUCAUUGACUUCGCCGGGCAUUAGGGAAAGCCCAAGCCUCGCCCCCGCAGGCCAGUCACCUGCACGGCCCUCCUUCUUAGCCCCUACUCUUCAGAACCAAGAAAGCAGCAGGAAGCCCAGGGCUCGCCGGAGUUCAGGUCAUCUCCUGUUUUUUUGAUGGGCUCAAACUUGGACUAAAUGAGCGGAUAUGCCUGCAAGAUUGGUCUCAAAAUAGAAGCGGUCCUAGUAUUUUAGGAUACUGCAGAAAUCCUUAUUUCUUCCGGAGAAAAACUCUAUAACGACUCCUAGCACUUCCCCUUUCAAUAUUUGUGCAACUUUAUCUCCACCGGCAAGUUGCUGUGAUGACGCAAAUCCGCUCUUCUGUAUUACAACUUCCAAAAUAAAUGCACGGAAAUCAA